UGGAAAUAGCUCCCGCGUAUAGACCGUACCCCAAACCGACACAGGUGGACUAGCAGAGUAUGCUGAGGCGCUUGAGAGAAGUAUGCUGAAGGAACUAGGCAAUUUGCCCUCGUAACUUCGGAAGAAGAGGGCCCAACCUACGCGCAAGCGUUGAUUGGGGGCACAGAGCAGGGGGUAGCGACUGUUUACUAAAAACACAGGACUCUGCGAAAUCCAAAGAUGACGUAUAGGGUCUGACGCCUGCCCGGUGCCGGAAGGUUAAGAGGAGAUGUGAAAGCGUCGAAUCGAAGCCCCGGUAAACGGCGGCCGUAACGAUAACGGUCCUAAGGUAGCGAAAUUCCUUGUCGGGUAAGUUCCGACCUGCACGAAAGGCGUAACGACUCCCCCACUGUCUCCAGCAUAUGCUCAGCGAAGUUGAAUUCCCCGUGAAGAUGCGGGGUACCCGCGGUCAGACGGAAAGACCCCGUGCACCUUUACUGCAGCUUUGCACUGGCAUUAGGGAUGGAUUGCGUAGGAUAGGUGGUAGGCUUUGAAGUCUAGGCUCUGGCUUGGAUGGAGCCACCCUUGAAAUACCACCCUGUUUGUUCCUGAUGUCUAACCGCGAUUCGAAACAGGGUCCGGAACCAUGCAUGGCGGGCAGUUUGACUGGGGCGGUCGCCUCCCAAAGAGUAACGGAGGCGCGCAAUGGUAAGCUCAGGCCGGUCGGAAAUCGGCUGUUGAGUGCAAUGGCACAAGCUUGCCUGACUGCAAGGCUGACAAGCCAAGCAGAGUCGAAAGACGGUCAUAGUGAUCCGGUGGUCCCGCGUGGAAGGGCCAUCGCUCAACGGAUAAAAGGUACGCCGGGGAUAACAGGCUGAUGAUCCCCAAGAGUCCAUAUCGACGGGAUCGUUUGGCACCUCGAUGUCGGCUCAUCACAUCCUGGGGCUGGAGCAGGUCCCAAGGGUAUGGCUGUUCGCCAUUUAAAGUGGUACGUGAGCUGGGUUUAGAACGUCGUGAGACAGUUCGGUCCCUAUCUGUCGUGGGUGUUCGAGACUUGAGAGGAUUUCUUCCUAGUACGAGAGGACCGGAAGGAACGCACCUCUGGUGGAUCGGUUGUCGCGCCAGCGGCACUGCCGAGUAGCUAUGUGCGGAAUAGAUAACCGCUGAAAGCAUCUAAGCGGGAAACUAACCUCAAAACCAGGUCUCGCUGAGAGCCGUGGAAGACUACCACGUUGAUAGGCUGGGCGUGUAAGCGCAGCAAUGCGUUGAGCUUACCAGUCCUAAUCGCCC
Molecule: ribosomal RNA, 1269 nt
Filed under: metagenome
Description: bacterial LSU rRNA
Rfam family: Bacterial large subunit ribosomal RNA
Source: RNAcentral